GAAGGGAUCGACCUGCCCUACUCCUGCCGCGCCGGCUCCUGCUCCUCCUGCGCCGGGAAGGUGGUCUCCGGCCAGCUGGACCAGUCCGACCAGAGCUUCCUCGACGACGACCAGAUCGAGGCGGGGUGGGUGCUCACCUGCGCCGCGUACCCCACCUCGGACCUCGUCAUCGAGACCCACAAGGAGGAGGAGCUCACCGCUUGAAUUCACUGAUUUUGUUUAGUUCGACCCGUUUCCACCGUGCGCGUGUACCAUGCACGACGUACCAACUGUACCAGGAUAUUGAGGAAUUACAAAGUAUAAUUAGUACUUGCUGCUGUGGUCGGAUUUUGAUUGCUUUUGCUUAUUAAUGCCUAGUGUUCAUUUUCUCAAGUCAAUCAAGUAAUGAAAAGAGAUGAGAUUGUGCUCCAUGUCUCCGUUACGCGUGUCUCGCG
This 434-nucleotide long non-coding RNA is filed under the name Triticum aestivum (bread wheat). Its description in RNAcentral is "long non-coding RNA (TAES_LNC014901)". The record is from RNAcentral. Lineage: Eukaryota; Viridiplantae; Streptophyta; Magnoliopsida; Poales; Poaceae.